GUGUCAGCAGCCGCGGUAAGACGAAGGAUCCAAGCGUUAUCCGGAUUCAUUGGGUUUAAAGGGUGCGUAGGCGGAUUUGUAAGUCAGUGGUGAAAGCCGAUAGCUCAACUAUCGAACUGCCAUUGAUACUGCAGAUCUAGAAUAUAGAUGAUGUUGGCGGAAUAUGACAUGUAGCGGUGAAAUGCAUAGAUAUGUCAUAGAACACCGAUUGCGAAGGCAGCUGACAAAACUAUUAUUGACGCUGAUGCACGAAAGUGCGGGGAUCAAACAGGAUUAGAUACCCCUGUAGUCC
RNAcentral lists this ribosomal RNA (292 nucleotides) under uncultured bacterium. Its description in RNAcentral is "partial 16S ribosomal RNA". It matches the Rfam family "Bacterial small subunit ribosomal RNA", at positions 505 to 796 of the family's 1533-position model. The record is from RNAcentral.